RNAcentral lists this ribosomal RNA (472 nucleotides) under uncultured bacterium. RNAcentral describes it as "SSU rRNA". It matches the Rfam family "Bacterial small subunit ribosomal RNA", at positions 26 to 518 of the family's 1533-position model. The record is from RNAcentral.
AGGAUAAACGCUGGCGGCGUGCAUGAGACAUGCAAGUCGAACGGACGAUCAGGGCUUGCUCUGAUCGUUAGUGGCGGACGGCUGAGUAACGCGUAGGUGACCUGCCCCGAAGUGGGGAAUAACUGCCCGAAAGGGUGGCUAAUACCGCAUGUGGUGGUGUGUUCAUUCACACCAGUAAAGCCGCAAGGCGCUUCGGGAGGGGCCUGCGUCCGAUUAGCUCGUUGGUGGGGUAACGGCUCACCAAGGCGACGAUCGGUAGGUGGUCUGAGAGGACGAUCACCCAGACUGGGACUGAGACACGGCCCAGACUCCUACGGGAGGCAGCAGUCGGGAAUUUUGCGCAAUGGACGAAAGUCUGACGCAGCAACGCCGCGUGAGGGAUGACGGCCUUCGGGUUGUAAACCUCUUUGUCAGGGACGAUGAUGACGGUACCUGACGAAUAAGUCACGGCUAACUACGUGCCAGCAGCCGC